UACCCCACUAAUUUCAUUAUUAUAAUUACGAAUAGUCCAAAACACCCAUUUAGAAUCUAUCGAAAAGUAUUUUAUGAAAUAAAAAGCUCUAGUACUCAAAACGACCAAAUGAGUCGUUACAGGCUCAAAUGUCUAGUGUGCAAAUAAGAGAUACAUUUAGCACCAUCUCCUCUACAUAGAAAUGUAAUGUAAUGUGCAAGUAGAUGUUGCCUACUUUUGAAAAAAGUGCAUUUGAUGUCUAGGAUAAGAUAACGGGUUUCUUACAAAAUAUUGUAUAUCCGAUAAAAAAGAACCAUCUAAUCUAAAUUAGUCUUUUAUUUAGAUUUUUCAGGUUGAUGUUGCUGAAUCGUCAUGCCUCUAGCCUAACUUUUGUCUUUGUAUAUCAGAUGUAUAUCAUAUGUAUAGUGGAUGUAUAUCAGCUCUUUUACACCAUUGCUUUUGCCGUUCGAGACCUCUAUUUCAACUUCCAUUUCGCGUAUAUCAGCUUCAUUUUGACCU
Molecule: long non-coding RNA, 498 nt
Filed under: Solanum tuberosum (potato)
Lineage: Eukaryota; Viridiplantae; Streptophyta; Magnoliopsida; Solanales; Solanaceae
Description: long non-coding RNA (STUB_LNC000363)
Source: RNAcentral